GUCACAUAAUGCAAGAGAUUUCUAUCACAAGGUUCGAUCAGCAACCUUAGCAGUAUUUGAACUUGAGGAGGACAUUGCAAGAACUAGAAGAAAGGCCACUCUAGUUCUGUCUUAAAAACUGUGGAGAAAUUUCUACUUCCCUGGGCAAGUUUCAUAGUCUUAUUUUCUGUGUCAGGUUGGCCUGCGAAUCACUUGGUAAAAGUAUAUUAUGCAAGAGCAUGCCAGCUAUCUGAGGUGGGAGUUGGGACUCUUAGAUUUAGAUCAACGAUCUAAAAAGAGGUGGAGGAUAGCAUGGAAAAUUGAAGGUAAAUAGGGAAAAGUGCUUUGAAGACACCCAUGGGGCAUUUAACCUUUGAUCAUAAUCCUAAGCGCUAACCAAGAAGGCAAAUCCUUUUGAGGAAAGGGUUUGUAUUCAUGUCAUGUCCCUUAUUUUUGUUGUUAUGAGUAGAUGCAAAUUACAGCAACUACUCUUUCAUAAAGGAAUGGACCUGUCUUAGAAAGCUCAUAAACUAUGGAUCUACUGAGUUGGAGGACCAAUUAUUCACUUGAAAUAAUCCAUCUAUCUCUUUCCUUUGAUAUAUACUAAAGGUUCCAUGCAUAAUGAUGGGAUCAUUGGAGGCCAUGCCAUGAUUUUGAUUUUGAUCAAAAUGAAUGUUGUUAUUAUGCUGAUAGCUUUGCUACAUUUUAUAUGUUACUCUAACUAUAAGAAAGGUUUAAUGUGCCCAGAUCUUCAUUAUGUAAUGCAAUUUCUUAACUCUAUGUUCAACAUAAUUCUGUUCCACCAGUAUUACAUGCCUUGUACUAUGCUCUUCUGUUCCCUGCUGCCCUGCGGAAUAGAUAUUUUAGCAAAUAAGGUGAGAAUUAUUGGACAAAGACAGCUAAGAAUGGAUAAACCUGGAAAGUUCUGAAGCCAACUAAGCAUUUUUAGAGAGAGAGAGAAUCUGUCAUUUUUUUAGAUAUAAAUGUUGAACACUUCUAUUAUGCUUUUCUCUUUUCUGUUUAUCUCUGCAAGUAUCUCAUGAAUAUGUUAUUUGUAGAAAUCUAUUGCUUCCCCUGGACGUGGAAUUCUUGCAAUAGAUGAAUCAAAUGCUACAUGUGGGAAGAGGCUUGCUUCGAUUGGUUUGGACAACACAGAAGCAAAUCGCCAAGCUUACAGACAGCUUUUGCUGACAACUCGUGGUUUAGGUGACUAUAUCUCAGGCGCCAUUCUUUUCGAGGAAACACUUUACCAGUCUACAACAGACGGAAAGAAGUUUGUAGAUUGUCUGUGUGAGGAGAAAAUAGUCCCUGGUAUUAAAGUUGACAAGGUACUUCUGCAACAAGGUUUUGCAUCCAUGCUUAAUUUUAAACUUGCUGCUACUCUGACUUUAGAAUUUUGUACUGAUUCACAUAUAUACUCUGCUUUUUUUGUCCUGCCAAGGGUCUGGUUCCCUUACCAGGAUCAAAUAAUGAAUCUUGGUGCCAAGGUUUGGAUGGACUGGCAUCAAGAUGUGCUGAAUAUUACAAGCAAGGGGCACGUUUUGCUAAGUGGUUUGUCUAGAUCCAUUUUAUUAGGCAUCUCCUUAGCUCUUUCGUUAAUCUGUUGUAGCUGCGCAAUUGAAAAACAGCUGCUAACAUGAUCAUGAAUGUCUAAUGUACUGCUUCAAAAUUUGCAGGCGAACAGUAGUUAGCAUUCCUUGUGGUCCUUCUGCCCUAGCUGUUAAGGAGGCUGCCUGGGGGCUUGCACGUUAUGCUGCUAUUGCUCAGGUAUUGCUUUUCUCCACAUGCAUGUAAGAGUAGUCUGCAAGUGAGAUUCCAUAGGAUGAAGCAUGAUGAUCAUUUUCAGUUCUCAACUGUAUUGCAGUUUUAAGCUAUAAUGUCUUAUUUCUUUUCAACUGUCAGUUGUGUCAGACCAUUCUCUCUUUCUUUUUUUUUCAAUGCAUGCAUUCAUCUGCCUGCCCAUGCAUUUGUACCUGGUGUGGUAACCUGUCUUACUUUUUUAAAAUAGGGAAAGAGAGGUUUUUGCUUUUCCAACAGAUAAUAUGUUUCAAGGUGUAUAAUGCUUUACAUCUGCAAAAUCAAGGGUUUUAGUUUGUUGGGCGGUGGUAACUCCACUCGUUUAUUCCAUCUCACAAACUCAGAGUCAAGGAAACAUUCUAAGGCACAAUCCCUGAUGCAAAGUUAAAGACUGCAUUAUGGUCCUAAUUGUCAAGCUAGAUUGACCUGAGGUGCACAGUG
Molecule: long non-coding RNA, 2217 nt
Filed under: Elaeis guineensis (African oil palm)
Lineage: Eukaryota; Viridiplantae; Streptophyta; Magnoliopsida; Arecales; Arecaceae
Description: long non-coding RNA (EGUI_LNC016454)
Source: RNAcentral